GGCGAACGACGGGAAUUGAACCCGCGCAUGGUGGAUUCACAAUCCACUGCCUUGAUCCACUUGCCUACAUCCGCCCCUUAUCCAGCUAAAGGAUUUUUUUCUUUUUUUCGGAUCUACGAAAAAAGAGAAAACUCCCAGGUUGCGACAAGUGACGCGCUGCAUGUGCGUCACUUGUCGCGACCUGGGAUGGUGGAGUGUUCUUUGCAAUGA
Molecule: transfer RNA, 210 nt
Filed under: Triticum aestivum (bread wheat)
Lineage: Eukaryota; Viridiplantae; Streptophyta; Magnoliopsida; Poales; Poaceae
Description: partial small subunit ribosomal RNA
Source: RNAcentral